RNAcentral lists this ribosomal RNA (466 nucleotides) under uncultured bacterium. Its description in RNAcentral is "partial 16S ribosomal RNA". It matches the Rfam family "Bacterial small subunit ribosomal RNA", at positions 329 to 793 of the family's 1533-position model. The record is from RNAcentral.
UGCCAGACUCCUACGGGAGGCAGCAGUGAGGAAUAUUGGUCAAUGGACGAGAGUCUGAACCAGCCAAGUAGCGUGAAGGAUGACUGCCCUAUGGGUUGUAAACUUCUUUUAUAUGGGAAUAAAAUGUUCCACGUGUGGGAUUUUGUAUGUACCAUAUGAAUAAGGAUCGGCUAACUCCGUGCCAGCAGCCGCGGUAAUACGGAGGAUGCGAGCGUUAUCCGGAUUUAUUGGGUUUAAAGGGUGCGUAGGCGGGAUGCCAAGUCAGCGGUAAAAAUGCGGUGCUCAACGCCGUCGAGCCGUUGAAACUGGCGUUCUUGAGUGGGCGAGAAGUAUGCGGAAUGCGUGGUGUAGCGGUGAAAUGCAUAGAUAUCACGCAGAACUCCGAUUGCGAAGGCAGCAUACCGGCGCCCUACUGACGCUGAGGCACGAAAGCGUGGGUAUCGAACAGGAUUAGAUACCCGAGUAU